This 67-nucleotide transfer RNA is filed under the name Hylomyscus parvus. Its description in RNAcentral is "tRNA-Gly". The record is from RNAcentral. Lineage: Eukaryota; Metazoa; Chordata; Mammalia; Rodentia; Muridae.
ACUCCCUUAGUAUAACUAAUAUAACUGACUUCCAAUCAGUAGAUUCCGAUAUUGACGGAAGAGAGUA